Molecule: ribosomal RNA, 252 nt
Filed under: uncultured bacterium
Lineage: Bacteria
Description: partial 16S ribosomal RNA
Rfam family: Bacterial small subunit ribosomal RNA
Source: RNAcentral
UACGUAGGUGGCGAGCGUUAUCCGGAUUUAUUGGGCGUAAAGCGUGCGCAGGCGGUUUAUUAAGUCUAGGAUUAAAGCCCGGAGCUUAACUCCGGUUCGUCUUAGAAACUGGUAGACUUGAGUAUGGUAGAGGCAAAUGGAAUUCCUAGUGUAGCGGUGGAAUGCGUAGAUAUUAGGAGGAACACCAGUAGCGAAGGCGGCCUGCUGGGCUUUUACUGACGCUGAGGCUCGAAAGUGUGGGGAGCAAACAGG